This 163-nucleotide ribosomal RNA is filed under the name Fuchsia cyrtandroides. RNAcentral's name for it is "5.8S ribosomal RNA". It matches the Rfam family "5.8S ribosomal RNA". Rfam says of the family: 5.8S ribosomal RNA (5.8S rRNA) is a component of the large subunit of the eukaryotic ribosome. The record is from RNAcentral. Lineage: Eukaryota; Viridiplantae; Streptophyta; Magnoliopsida; Myrtales; Onagraceae.
AAAACGACUCUCGGCAACGGAUAUCUCGGCUCUCGCAUCGAUGAAGAACGUAGCGAAAUGCGAUACUUGGUGUGAAUUGCAGAAUCCGUGAACCAUCGAGUCUUUGAACGCAAGUUGCGCCCUAAGCCAUUCGGCCGAGGGCACGUCUGCCUGGGCGUCAAUC